UACGUAGGGUGCGAGCGUUGUCCGGAAUUACUGGGCGUAAAGAGCUCGUAGGUGGUUUGUCGCGUUGUUCGUGAAAUCUCACGGCUUAACUGUGAGCGUGCGGGCGAUACGGGCAGACUAGAGUACUGCAGGGGAGACUGGAAUUCCUGGUGUAGCGGUGGAAUGCGCAGAUAUCAGGAGGAACACCGGUGGCGAAGGCGGGUCUCUGGGCAGUAACCGACGCUGAGGAGCGAAAGCGUGGGGAGCGAACAGG
Molecule: ribosomal RNA, 253 nt
Filed under: uncultured bacterium
Lineage: Bacteria
Description: partial 16S ribosomal RNA
Rfam family: Bacterial small subunit ribosomal RNA
Source: RNAcentral